UUGUUGCGUAUUGUUUCUACUCUAAAAGUAAAGAAAGCAGAUACGUACUCUUGCCUGAAACGAGAUAAAAAGAAGAAUUUGAGCGUGUCUGCUCGCUGCUACACCUAGGGAGGAUAGCAGUCCAAAAUGGUAAUC
Molecule: non-coding RNA, 135 nt
Filed under: unclassified sequences
Description: RAGATH-19 RNA
Rfam family: RAGATH-19 RNA
About the family: Environmental. Nearby to self-cleaving ribozyme genes
Source: Rfam by way of RNAcentral